Molecule: transfer RNA, 62 nt
Filed under: Curculionoidea sp. 27 KM-2017
Lineage: Eukaryota; Metazoa; Arthropoda; Insecta; Coleoptera
Description: tRNA-Ser
Source: RNAcentral
GAAUCAAGUUUUCAAGAAAAAGCUUCUAACUUUAUUCUUAAGCACCCUAUGUUUUUGAUUCU